UACGGAGGGGGCUAGCGUUGUUCGGAAUUACUGGGCGUAAAGCGUACGCAGGCGGACUGUUAGGUUAGAGGUAAAAUCCCAGGGCUCAACCCUGGAACUGCCUUUAAAACUGGUGGUCUGGAGUUAUGGAGAGGUAAGUGGAAUUCCUAGUGUAGAGGUGAAAUUCGUAGAUAUUAGGAGGAACACCGGAGGCGAAGGCGGCUUACUGGACAUAUACUGACGCUGAGGUACGAAAGUGUGGGGAGCAAACAGGAUUAGAUACCCUGGUAGUCCACACCGUAAACGAUGAGAGCUAGUUGUCCGCAGACAUGUCUGUGGGUGACGCAGUUAACGCAUUAAGCUCUCCGCCUGGGGAGUACGGCCGCAAGGCUAAAACUCAAAGAAAUUGACGGGGGCCCGCACAAGCGGUGGAGCAUGUGGUUUAAUUCGAAGCAACGCGAAGAACCUUACCACCCCUUGACAUACUCGUCGCGGAUUAGAGAAAUCUUUUCCUUCAGUUCGGCUGGACGAUGUACAGGUGCUGCAUGGCUGUCGUCAGCCCGUGUCGUGAGAUGUUAGGUUAAGUCCUGCAACGAGCGCAACCCUCGUCCUUAGUUGCCAGCAUUUAGUUGGGCACUCUAGGGAUACUGCCGGUGCUAAGCCGGAGGAAGGUGGGGAUGACGUCAAGUCUUCAUGGCCCUUACGGGGUGGGCUACACACGUGCUACAAUGGCGAUGACAGAGGGUUAAUCCCUAAAAGUCGUCUCAGUUCGGAUUGCCUUCUGCAACUCGAAGGCAUGAAGUUGGAAUCGCUAGUAAUCGCAGGUCAGCAUACUGCGGUGAAUACGUUCCCGGGCCU
This 837-nucleotide ribosomal RNA is filed under the name uncultured bacterium. RNAcentral describes it as "bacterial SSU rRNA". It matches the Rfam family "Bacterial small subunit ribosomal RNA", at positions 524 to 1381 of the family's 1533-position model. The record is from RNAcentral.